AUGGACGCAAAGGCGGAGGCGUCCGUCGACGACGCGGUCCCGGAGGCGCCGGAGCAGUCCGUCGUCCUCAUCUCCGCCGGCGCCAACCACUCGGUCGCGCUGCUCUCGGGCCAGAUGGUGUGCUCCUGGGGCCGGGGCGAGGACGGGCAGCUCGGCCACGGAGACUCCGAGGACCGGCCGGUGCCGACGGUGCUGACCUCCUUCGACGUGCCACGCAUUACGUCCGUCGUCUGCGGCGCCGACCACACCGCCGCCUACUCCGACGACGAGAUGCAGCUCUACAGCUGGGGAUGGGGAGACUUCGGGAGGCUGGGGCAUGGCAACUCCAGCGAUGUGUUCAACCCGCAGCCGGUCGUGGCCCUGCAGGGGAUGAAGAUCAAGCAGGUCGCCUGCGGUGACAGCCACUGCCUCGCCGUCACCGUCACCGGACAAGUGCAUAGCUGGGGGCGCAAUCAGAACGGGCAACUUGGUCUCGGAAACAAUGAAGACUCGCUGCUCCCGCAAAAGAUCAAGGCUUUUGAGGGUGUCUGCGUAAAAAUGAUCGCUGCUGGCGCCGAGCAUACUACGGCCAUAACAGAAGAUGGCCAUCUCUACGGAUGGGGCUGGGGUCGAUACGGCAACCUAGGUCUCAGCGACCGCGACGACCGAUCGGUCCCGGAAAAGGUUUCUUCCGUUGAGGGAGAAAAGAUGGUGCUUGUUGCAUGUGGGUGGCGCCACUCGGUCACUGUGUCGUCGUCUGGUGGCCUGUACACGUACGGGUGGAGCAAGUAUGGCCAGCUAGGCCAUGGUGAUUUCGAAGACCAUCUCGUUCCACGCAAGCUCGAGGCCCUCAAAGACGUUUCCAUUUCUCAGAUUGCAGGUGGGUGGAGGCAUACAAUGGCAGUCGCUUCAGAUGGGAAACUCUAUGGAUGGGGGUGGAACAAGUUUGGCCAAGUUGGUGUUGGAGAUGACGUCGAUCACUGUUCCCCCGUGGAGGUGAAUUUUCCCGAUGAACAGAAAAUUGCACAGGUUGCCUGUGGAUGGAGGCAUACUCUUGCCCUGACAGAAAACAAGAAUGUUUUCUCAUGGGGCAGGGGUGCCAGUGGACAGCUUGGUCAUGGUGAAAUAAUCGACAGGAACACACCCAAGAUGAUCGAUGCCCUAAGCCUGGACGGGUCUGCUUGCAAGCAGUUGGAGUCAUCAAACGCUGUUCCAAUGACAGCUAAAGUCUGGGUCCCUCCUUCGAAGCGGUUCGCCAUCGUCCCCGAGGAGAAUGUUAGUAAACCAGGCAAUGGAACCGACAAGCACGCGCCUGAAGGCGAUGCCAAGAGGAUGCGCGUCUGA
This 1323-nucleotide ribosomal RNA is filed under the name Triticum aestivum (bread wheat). RNAcentral's name for it is "partial small subunit ribosomal RNA". The record is from RNAcentral. Lineage: Eukaryota; Viridiplantae; Streptophyta; Magnoliopsida; Poales; Poaceae.